Molecule: unclassified non-coding RNA, 221 nt
Filed under: Hevea brasiliensis (rubber tree)
Lineage: Eukaryota; Viridiplantae; Streptophyta; Magnoliopsida; Malpighiales; Euphorbiaceae
Source: RNAcentral
GGCAUCUUUACAACGGCAGGGCAAUUACCGGGAAGCUAUUAAGUACCACUCGCUGGUUCUUGAAUUAUCGGCGAGAUAUGGAGAGGAUUCAGGUAGCACAGAAGCUUAUGGAGCAAUAGCUGAUUGCUACACUGAGCUUGGAGAUUUGGAACAAGCUGCAAAAUACUAUGACCAAUAUAUUGCAAGAUUAGAAACUGAUUGAGCUACUAGCAUGAUGAUUU